Molecule: ribosomal RNA, 487 nt
Filed under: uncultured bacterium
Lineage: Bacteria
Description: bacterial SSU rRNA
Rfam family: Bacterial small subunit ribosomal RNA
Source: RNAcentral
AUUGAACGCUGGCGGCAUGCCUUACACAUGCAAGUCGAACGGCAGCACGGGUGCUUGCACUGGUGGCGAGUGGCGAACGGGUGAGUAAUAUAUCGGAACGUACCUUAUCGUGGGGGGAUUAACGCAGCGAAAGCUGCGCUAAUACCGCAUACGCCCUGAGGGGGAAAGCGGGGGACCGUAAGGCCUCGCGCGAUUAGAGCGGCCGAUAUCUGAUUAGCUUGUUGGUGGGGUAAAAGCCUACCAAGGCAACGAUCAGUAGCUGGUCUGAGAGGACGACCAGCCACACUGGGACUGAGACACGGCCCAGACUCCUACGGGAGGCAGCAGUGGGGAAUUUUGGACAAUGGGGGAAACCCUGAUCCAGCAAUGCCGCGUGUGUGAAGAAGGCCUUCGGGUUGUAAAGCACUUUUGUCAGGAACGAAACGGUGAGGGCUAAUACCCUUUGCUAAUGACGGUACCUGAAGAAUAAGCACCGGCUAACUACGUG